CUGCCCUCCCAGCCCAUCAUCCGGCAUGUGGCUUCUUUAGUGAUACUGUGCCCCACCAGGAGGGGUGAGCAGGAGGGCAGAGGAAGAGCCCAUUGCUGAUUCUGCUUGCCAAGGCUCUUCAACCUGUAAAAUGGGAGGGUAGUGCCUACUUCACCAUAGCCGUGGGGAGAAGCCCGUGAAAACUUCCUGAGGGUCACCAGCCACAUUUGAAGCGAGCAGCUACCGGAUUGGAUAGUGCAGCCCUGCCUCCAACACGUUCACCUGACCCACGGGCAACCGAGGUCCAAGGAGGGCGUGGUCUGCCCAAGGUCACUGAGCUGAGUGGGACCAGGACCCAGGUCCCCUGACUCCAUCACAGCUGUUCCGCUCCACUUCACUGCCUGCCCUAUUUUCAUCAGGACAGCAAGCAGCGACCCAAGAAGCAGCAGUUUCAGCAGUGGAGUCAGAAGGCACAGCCUAACAACAUAUUCCUGCUCAGACAGUAAACUUCUUAGCGUUUCUUUAUUUUAUGUGAAUCUUGCCUGUGACCAUUCUCCACCACUGGAUGAUAUACAUAUGUGUGGAAAGAGUGCAUAAACGACUUUAGCAAGCAUCUAUUGAGCACCUACUGUGUUUCCAGCCCUGCACCUGGCCUUAAAGAUACGGAGAUGAAGACAGCCCAGCUCUGGUCCUCGGGCAGCUCACCUCUGGUCCAGGGAGGGCAGAGUGGUCAGCCCCUCACUUAGGGUGUGCAGAGGGUGGCGUGGGGUCUGAUACAGAGCCGUGCAGAAGUGCUGUGGGAGUGAGCAGAUUGCAUGCCUAGUGUAUGAAAACCCCAGCAAGCAGCCUCCUGGGCUGGCGGAACCAGCUGGAAGGGACCUUGGGAAAAUCCGUGGGGAGCCCACAUGUGGAGCUGCUGGGCCUCGGCCUGUGGGUGUGUGGUGUUUGGGUAACAGCCCAAAGGCUAGGAGGGUUUGUUUUUGUUGUUGAUUGGAACUGAGAGGGGCUAUUGUCAGGCAAAGCCUCAGCUUAUUGGUGUGUGGUGUUGGCUCAGGACUGUGGGGUGGGUACUUGCUGGGGUGCAGUUGCUGUCAGUAACAUCCCUUCAUGGAGCACCCAUUGCAGCAUCCCUCUCCCCCUCCUUCACACAUGUACACACUUGCACGCUCCCACACACACGUGUGCAUCGCCAGUUAUAAAAUUUAAUUUGCAGAGCCCAGGACAAAAUGAAAAUGCAAAGUCCCUUGAUCAAAAGUUAAGAAUUUUAAGGCCGCGACAGUAGAUUGUUUAGACAAGCACAGGGGCCUUCUAAUGGGCCCCGGGUGGCUGCACAGGACACACGUCGGAGAAGCUGGCCCUGCACACACACAGACACACAAGGUCCCCCACUGUUUGCACUGGCCUGUAUCUUCCCUUCUCUCCACCCACUGUGAGGGAGGCCAAAGGCAUGCCAGCUAGUGCUUUAGAGGUUUAUUAUCUCAUGUCAUCUGUCAACAUCCGAUGUCAAUAAUGGCUAUCAUGCCCACUCUCCAUAUGAGGAAGUGAAGAUGAGAAGGAAGAUCUGGGAUUCGAACCCAAAACUUACCUGAGUCCAAAGCCCAGGCUUGUUCCAUGCACACCCUGCCCCCACACCACACAAAGAGGAAUGAGCCACCUCCUUUUUUGUGUUAUUUCUGAUGUUUUUCUUUCUGUUUCUUCCUUCCUUCCUUCCUUCCUUCCAUCCUUCCUUCCUUCCCCCCUUCCUUCCUUCCUUCUUUCUUUCUUUCUUUCUUUCUUUCUUUCUUUCUUUCUUUCUUUCUUUCUUUCUUUCUUUCUUUCCUCCCUCUCUCUCUCUCUCUCUUUCUUUCUUUCUUUUCUUUCCUUUUGAGACAGAGUCUCACUCUUUCACCCAGGCUGGAGGGCAGUGGAGCAAUCUCGGCUCACUGCAACCUCCACCUCCUCAGUUCAAGUGAUUCU
RNAcentral lists this long non-coding RNA (1935 nucleotides) under Homo sapiens (human). Its description in RNAcentral is "HSALNT0002560". Lineage: Eukaryota; Metazoa; Chordata; Mammalia; Primates; Hominidae. The record is from RNAcentral.